AAAUUGAAGAGUUUGAUCAUGGCUCAGAUUGAACGCUGGCGGCAGGCCUAACACAUGCAAGUCGAACGGUAACAGGAAGCAGCUUGCUGUUUCGCUGACGAGUGGCGGACGGGUGAGUAAUGUCUGGGAAACUGCCUGAUGGAGGGGGAUAACUACUGGAAACGGUAGCUAAUACCGCAUAAUGUCGCAAGACCAAAGAGGGGGACCUUCGGGCCUCUUGCCAUCGGAUGUGCCCAGAUGGGAUUAGCUAGUAGGUGGGGUAACGGCUCACCUAGGCGACGAUCCCUAGCUGGUCUGAGAGGAUGACCAG
RNAcentral lists this ribosomal RNA (310 nucleotides) under Escherichia coli. Its description in RNAcentral is "bacterial SSU rRNA". It matches the Rfam family "Bacterial small subunit ribosomal RNA", at positions 1 to 307 of the family's 1533-position model. The record is from RNAcentral. Lineage: Bacteria; Pseudomonadati; Pseudomonadota; Gammaproteobacteria; Enterobacterales; Enterobacteriaceae.